AAAGCAAAUGUGAAGACAAACCUGUACAGAGAAGUUUUCAGUUAAGGGUUCACAUCAUGACAUUGUAAAUUCGGUUAGUCAAUUUACAGUUUUUCUAAAUGGCUGCUAAAAAGAAUCUAGUAUGAGAAUUUCUGGUUGAAGACCUGCCAAUUCAUUGAUCCCCUUGCAAAGAUUUACAGACCUCCACCAAGGAGAGCACUCCUUGGAUAUGGUGGCUACCAAUGAUGGCAACUAGUAACUGAUCAUCAUUAUGAGAAUUAAUUCACGCAUCUCUCUAGUUUUGUGUUUUUGGGCAAGGAUCAUUUAUUUAGGAAGAAAGGCAAUACGAACUAACUACAGUAAAAGGGAAAACUUCUAUGCAAGGAAGUGGCAGUCAUCAUACUGCGGGCCCAGGGUCUCUUUUGGUGGAUAGGCUAGAAAUGAUCUGCACAUAAUUAGCAUUUAGCAACCAGCAGCCUACAUUUAGCAUGUUGCAUAAUUAGUAUUUAGUAACCAGCAGCCUACAUUUAGCAAGUUGCAUUUAACAGCAACAAGAGCCCAUUGUUUGUAUUAUAAGAAAGAACAAAAUAUAAUUCAUCUUCAACAUUUACAAGGAAAUAUGAUACUCACAUAAGCAUGCCACCAA
RNAcentral lists this unclassified non-coding RNA (625 nucleotides) under Hevea brasiliensis (rubber tree). The record is from RNAcentral. Lineage: Eukaryota; Viridiplantae; Streptophyta; Magnoliopsida; Malpighiales; Euphorbiaceae.